CUGGACGCCUGCAUCCGGGCCCAGGAUCCUCCUUUCUGUAAAGGCGGCAACAUCAGAGUCCCCCGUCAAUCUCCCACCCUUUGCAUGCAGCCAAGCUUGCUGCUCCGACAGUCCUCCAGGGGACAUGGGACAGGAGGCCACACCCAGCCCCUGGCACCAGCAACAAGGAGCUCUUCGAGCAAAGCAGGCCCUGCCUCUGCUCCAGCCACACAGCUCUGCCCUCAGCCUAGCCCAGCUCAGCAGGGUCCUGGCUAUUCAUCUGGCCCCUCUCCCCACCCUCAGCCACAGAGCCAGGCCCCCAACCCACUUUCCCAGCCAGCCAGCCACUUUCUCUCCAAGCCUUUGCCCUAGGAAGCACCUUUCCCUGGCGUGCUGCAAACCCGUGUCUCCGUGUGGGAAUUCUGCCCCGCAGUGUGUUUUCCUUGCAUGUGGCUCGGCCCUGUGUAUUGUCUCCCCUCCCACUGCCCUGCUUCUGUGCUGUCUGCCCUCAGAG
This 493-nucleotide long non-coding RNA is filed under the name Rattus norvegicus (Norway rat). RNAcentral's name for it is "long non-coding RNA NONRATT028144". The record is from RNAcentral. Lineage: Eukaryota; Metazoa; Chordata; Mammalia; Rodentia; Muridae.